CUGUACUUCUAGUGACUCUACUGUUUGAAAUACUAUUUUUCUUUAAUCAAGUUUUAUAAAAAUGUAGAAUUUGGGUUUUUUUUCUUUCCAAACUUAUGUUGUUAGCAUACAACACACAUUGUUGCUGUCUUUUGUAGAAAGUGCAAAUACCACUAAUAGAGUGUCUCAGAAGGUGGAUUGAAAUGGGGGAAGAUGGGAUCUUCUGUCCUUAUUUUUGAAGAUUAUUCUUGGUUCCCAGGAGAGAUUUUCUGACAUUCACACAUGUCAGCCACUUUGGCUUAGAAGCCUUACAACAGAGAGAAGCAAAACUUCAUGUCUUCUUUCCUGAUGCCAUCAGCAUAGACUUGACUUCCUGAAAUAGUAAUGAUGUGGCCUUGGCCACCCAAAACUCCUGUGUCGGGUAACAGUACUCAGGCUUUCUGGUGAUAAUAUCAAGAUGGUGUUGCUCAAAAGACCAAGAUUCCUGUUUGUAGUUUGUGGAUCAUCCCAUCGAUGAUCUUAGAGUUUUCAGUUCCUUUCUUCCAUGUCAGAGUUGACCUGUGAAAAGAUCUUACACGCCUCUUGUGAAAUAUCCACCCCUUCUGAGAACUCCGCCUUUUCAAAACAGCAACAGAAGACUGUUGACUUUUGGGGGAGGGGAGUUUGAAAGUUGUAAAAUGUUAUGGAUUGUCAACCAUGUCCUCCUGGAAGUAACUGGUUUUGAAAAGUAUCUGAUAAAGCCGAAUACAAAUUGGCUUGGUGGUGGGGGAUCACUUCCUACCCAAAGUCACAGGUGGUGGGGGAUCACUUCCUACCCAAAGUCACAGGUGUAUUCUUCAUUGCAUUGUAAACAUUUUAUAGUCUUGCUUUUCACAUUUGUCUUUAGUCUGCUCUGAACUGAUUUUUGUGAAAAAUAGGAGAUAGAAGUUCAAUAUAAUAUUUUUUCCAUGUGGAUAAGUGGUGGUUGUCCCAGCACCAUUCUCUGAAUACUUAAUUCUUUCCCACUGAUCUAUAACACCAGCUCUUU
Molecule: long non-coding RNA, 1006 nt
Filed under: Ursus americanus (American black bear)
Lineage: Eukaryota; Metazoa; Chordata; Mammalia; Carnivora; Ursidae
Description: lncRNA (ENSUAMG00000021257.1)
Source: RNAcentral